AGAGUUUGAUCAUGGCUCAGAUUGAACGCUGGCGGCAGGCCUAACACAUGCAAGUCGAACGGUAACAGGAAGAAGCUUGCUUCUUUGCUGACGAGUGGCGGACGGGUGAGUAAUGUCUGGGAAACUGCCUGAUGGAGGGGGAUAACUACUGGAAACGGUAGCUAAUACCGCAUAAUGUCGCAAGACCAAAGAGGGGGACCUUCGGGCCUCUUGCCAUCGGAUGUGCCCAGAUGGGAUUAGCUAGUAGGUGGGGUAACGGCUCACCUAGGCGACGAUCCCUAGCUGGUCUGAGAGGAUGACCAGCCACACUGGAACUGAGACACGGUCCAGACUCCUACGGGAGGCAGCAGUGGGGAAUAUUGCACAAUGGGCGCAAGCCUGAUGCAGCCAUGCCGCGUGUAUGAAGAAGGCCUUCGGGUUGUAAAGUACUUUCAGCGGGGAGGAAGGGAGUAAAGUUAAUACCUUUGCUCAUUGACGUUACCCGCAGAAGAAGCACCGGCUAACUCCGUGCCAGCAGCCGCGGUAAUACGGAGGGUGCAAGCGUUAAUCGGAAUUACUGGGCGUAAAGCGCACGCAGGCGGUUUGUUAAGUCAGAUGUGAAAUCCCCGGGCUCAACCUGGGAACUGCAUCUGAUACUGGCAAGCUUGAGUCUCGUAGAGGGGGGUAGAAUUCCAGGUGUAGCGGUGAAAUGCGUAGAGAUCUGGAGGAAUACCGGUGGCGAAGGCGGCCCCCUGGACGAAGACUGACGCUCAGGUGCGAAAGCGUGGGGAGCAAACAGGAUUAGAUACCCUGGUAGUCCACGCCGUAAACGAUGUCGACUUGGAGGUUGUGCCCUUGAGGCGUGGCUUCCGGAGCUAACGCGUUAAGUCGACCGCCUGGGGAGUACGGCCGCAAGGUUAAAACUCAAAUGAAUUGACGGGGGCCCGCACAAGCGGUGGAGCAUGUGGUUUAAUUCGAUGCAACGCGAAGAACCUUACCUGGUCUUGACAUCCACGGAAGUUUCCAGAGAUGGAUUGGUGCCUUCGGGAACUGUGAGACAGGUGCUGCAUGGCUGUCGUCAGCUCGUGUUGUGAAAUGUUGGGUUAAGUCCCGCAACGAGCGCAACCCUUAUCCUUUGUUGCCAGCGGUCCGGCCGGGAACUCAAAGGAGACUGCCAGUGAUAAACUGGAGGAAGGUGGGGAUGACGUCAAGUCAUCAUGGCCCUUACGACCAGGGCUACACACGUGCUACAAUGGCGCAUACAAAGAGAAGCGAACUCGCGAGAGCAAGCGGACCUCAUAAAGUGCGUCGUAGUCCGGAUUGGAGUCUGCAACUCGACUCCAUGAAGUCGGAAUCGCUAGUAAUCGUGGAUCAGAAUGCCACGGUGAAUACGUUCCCGGGCCUUGUACACACCGCCCGUCACACCAUGGGAGUGGGUUGCAAAAGAAGUAGGUAGCUUAACCUUCGGGAGGGCGCUUACCACUUUGUGAUUCAUGACUGGGGUGAAGUCGUAACAAGGUAACCGUAGGGGAACCUGCGGUUGGAUCACCU
RNAcentral lists this ribosomal RNA (1530 nucleotides) under Escherichia coli HVH 151 (4-5755573). RNAcentral's name for it is "bacterial SSU rRNA". It matches the Rfam family "Bacterial small subunit ribosomal RNA". Lineage: Bacteria; Pseudomonadati; Pseudomonadota; Gammaproteobacteria; Enterobacterales; Enterobacteriaceae. The record is from RNAcentral.